RNAcentral lists this long non-coding RNA (1258 nucleotides) under Macaca fascicularis (crab-eating macaque). RNAcentral describes it as "lncRNA (ENSMFAG00000057686.1)". Lineage: Eukaryota; Metazoa; Chordata; Mammalia; Primates; Cercopithecidae. The record is from RNAcentral.
UUUUUUUUUUCUUUUUACACCUUCACUGCUGGAAAAACUUGGUUUUUUAAAGAUAAUAAAAUGACUGCCAGAGGCAAAUACUGCAUUAUUUUUGUUUCUGAAUUGUCUCCCCAAAAUAUUAAGAAACUCAAAUGUUUCUCUUUUGUUAAAUUUUUUCCUUUGCUAGUCUAGAUUUUAAAAUAUAAACAGCUGAAAUGUUAAUAUUAGGUUUUGCUUUAAUAUAGCAGGAAACUAGAUUACUGCUAGAUAAAUAAUUUCAACCUAAAUGUAGGUAGCUUUUUAAGCCAGGUUAUUAUUUUCCCAAUACCCAAAAGUCAAUGAGGAGACUGAUGUUUUGAUUUAAAGGAUAUACUCUCAUAAUUCAAAAAAUAACUCCUCUAGAAAUCUGAAUAUUUGGCAAAUGCAUUUAAACAUAAUUCUCUUUCCAUAAUGACGUUGCACUUUAUAAAGCUGAGGAGGAAGCUAUGAAUGUAUUGUAGGCAGAAUACACACAAACUAGAAACAAGUACCUGCCUGAUCUGCUUGGCAAGUGACUAAUCCCUCAACACGUGACAAUCCACGCAUUCUAUGUGAAUAAAAUAUUAGCUAAAAGAGCCCAUACAGGCUGGGUGUGCUGGCUCACCCCUACAAUCCCAGUAUUUUGAGAGGACAAGGCGGGAGGAUUGCUUGAGGCCAGAGUUUGAGAUAAGCCUAGGCAACACAGUGAGACUCCAAUUUCUUAAAAUAAAUAAAUAAUUUUUAAAUGUAAAAAGAGUCCAUAUGGUCAUGAAGAGUUUAUUUCAGACACAAAGUUUUUUGUUUUUUUUUAAUCCCUCAUCAAAAGAAUCAAAGGGAUUAUUUAUCAAAGUUGUACUUACAAAUUCAUCUGAACUUGAACUCUGUCUGGGUUCAAAGCCCAGCUCCAUUGCUUACCAGCUAUCAACGUGGGCAAGCAAAUUAUUUGUGCCUUAGUUAUAUCAUCUGUCACACAGAAAUAAUAAUAGUAUCCACUUCAAAUAGUAUUAUCAAAUAGUCAAAAUGAAACUCACAGAAGCAGAGAGUACAAUGAUGGUUACCAUGGGCUGUAGGAAGAAGGUAUUGAAGAGAUAUUGGUCAAAAAAUACAAAAUUUCUGUUAAGAGGAGUAAGUUCAAGAGAUCUAUAAUCAACAUGGUGACCAUAGCUAAUAACAAUGUAUUGCAUACUUGUAAGUGUUCUUACCACAAAAAAAAGAGUAUGUGAGGUAAUGUAUAUAUGUUAAUUAGCUUGAUUAACCCAUG